AUUCAUUGAAGUAAAGAUUCCGAGCACAGAGUUUGGAACUUGCAUUCAUAUUUCUUUAAAUUCUUUUAUAUUGAGGUAAGAUGAUUUGUGCAAGUAUUUUCGUUUUCUUGUGUUUUUAUAAUCAAUUAAAUAUGUAUGGAUUGCUAGUGGAUCUUCGAGUUCUUUAAAAAGAGAGAUGAAAUUUUAUGGGAUUAUAAGAUGACCUAAAAUGAGCGUGUUGCUUGAUCACCGAUAUACUCCAUAAGAGUAGAGUGAUAUGAAACGUGGAUUUUAUUUGUUAUAUAAUCGUGUAUGAAAAUUACACGUAUCUUAUUGGGUGUUUUCGAAUAUUUACUCUUACAAAUUUUUACAGGUUAGUUUGGAUCGAUUUGAAUUGUGGAAUGAUGGUGAUGCGGACUGCCAAGUGAAUCGAAGAAAGAAAAAUGAUAUUAAAUAUUCAGUUUGUGUCAUUUCGUGUUUCUAACUUUAAUUGUUAGUUUUUAUUUGUUCAAAAACUCAUUUGUAUAAUUAGUCC
Molecule: long non-coding RNA, 514 nt
Filed under: Olea europaea (common olive)
Lineage: Eukaryota; Viridiplantae; Streptophyta; Magnoliopsida; Lamiales; Oleaceae
Description: long non-coding RNA (OEUR_LNC014341)
Source: RNAcentral